RNAcentral lists this ribosomal RNA (398 nucleotides) under uncultured bacterium. RNAcentral's name for it is "partial 16S ribosomal RNA". It matches the Rfam family "Bacterial small subunit ribosomal RNA", at positions 523 to 918 of the family's 1533-position model. The record is from RNAcentral.
AUACGUAGGGUGCGAGCGUUGUCCGGAAUUACUGGGCGUAAAGAGCUCGUAGGUCGUUUGUCGCGUCGUCUGUGAAAUUCCGGGGCUUAACUCCGGGCGUGCAGGCGAUACGGGCAUAACUUGAGUACUGUAGGGGAGACUGGAAUUCCUGGUGUAGCGGUGAAAUGCGCAGAUAUCAGGAGGAACACCGGUGGCGAAGGCGGGUCUCUGGGCAGUAACUGACGCUGAGGAGCGAAAGCAUGGGUAGCGAACAGGAUUAGAUACCCUGGUAGUCCAUGCCGUAAACGGUGGGCGCUAGGUGUAGGGGUCUUCCACGACUUCUGUGCCGUAGCUAACGCAUUAAGCGCCCCGCCUGGGGAGAACGGCCGCAAGGCUAAAACUCAAAUGAAUUGACGGGG